Molecule: ribosomal RNA, 254 nt
Filed under: uncultured bacterium
Lineage: Bacteria
Description: partial 16S ribosomal RNA
Rfam family: Bacterial small subunit ribosomal RNA
Source: RNAcentral
UACGUAGGGUGCGAGCGUUAAUCGGAAUUACUGGGCGUAAAGCGUGCGCAGGCGGCGCGUUAAGACAGGUGUGAAAGCCCCGAGCUUAACUUGGGAAUUGCGCUUGUGACUGGCGUGCUGGAGUGUGGCAGAGGGAGGUGGAAUUCCACGUGUAGCAGUGAAAUGCGUAGAGAUGAUGGAGGAACACCGAUGGCGAAGGCAGCCUCCUGGGCCAGCACUGACGCUCGAUACACGAAAGCGUGGGGAGCAAACAG